GCGAACGACGGGAAUUGAACCCGCGCAUGGUGGAUUCACAACCCACUGCCUUGAUCCACUUGGCUACAUCCGCC
RNAcentral lists this transfer RNA (74 nucleotides) under Paeonia lactiflora (Chinese peony). Its description in RNAcentral is "tRNA-His". RNAcentral also lists the same sequence under 7 other names. The record is from RNAcentral. Lineage: Eukaryota; Viridiplantae; Streptophyta; Magnoliopsida; Saxifragales; Paeoniaceae.